UACAGAGGGUGCAAGCGUUGUUCGGAAUUAUUGGGCGUAAAGGGCGCGUAGGCGGCGUGACAAGUCACUUGUGAAAUCUCUGGGCUUAACCCAGAACGGCCAAGUGAAACUGUUGUGCUAGAGUGCAGAAGGGGCAAUCGGAAUUCUCGGUGUAGCGGUGAAAUGCGGUAGAAUAUCGAGAGGAACACCAGAGGUGAAGACGGGUUGCUGGGCUGACACUGACGCUGGAGGCGACGGAAAGCCAGGGGAGCAAACGGG
Molecule: ribosomal RNA, 258 nt
Filed under: uncultured bacterium
Lineage: Bacteria
Description: partial 16S ribosomal RNA
Rfam family: Bacterial small subunit ribosomal RNA
Source: RNAcentral